This 664-nucleotide ribosomal RNA is filed under the name uncultured archaeon. RNAcentral describes it as "bacterial SSU rRNA". It matches the Rfam family "Archaeal small subunit ribosomal RNA", at positions 691 to 1353 of the family's 1478-position model. The record is from RNAcentral.
UCGACGGUGAGGGGUGAAAGCUGGGGGAGCAAACCGGAUUAGAUACCCGGGUAGUCCCAGCUGUAAACUAUGCAAACUCAGUGAUGCAUUGGCUUGUGGCCAAUGCAGUGCUGCAGGGAAGCCGUUAAGUUUGCCGCCUGGGAAGUACGUACGCAAGUAUGAAACUUAAAGGAAUUGGCGGGGGAGCACCACAAGGGGUGAAGCCUGCGGUUCAAUUGGAGUCAACGCCAGAAAUCUUACCCGGAGAGACAGCAGAAUGAAGGUCAAGCUGAAGACUUUACCAGACAAGCUGAGAGGUGGUGCAUGGCCGUCGCCAGCUCGUGCCGUGAGAUGUCCUGUUAAGUCAGGUAACGAGCGAGAUCCCUGCCUCUAGUUGCCACCAUUACUCUCAGGAGUAGUGGGGCGAAUUAGCGGGACCGCCGCAGUUAAUGCGGAGGAAGGAAGGGGCCACGGCAGGUCAGUAUGCCCCGAAACUCUGGGGCCACACGCGGGCUGCAAUGGUAGCGACAAUUGGUUUCGAAUCCGAAAGGAUGAGGUAAUCCACAAACGCUACCACAGUUAUGACUGAGGGCUGCAACUCGCCCUCACGAAUAUGGAAUCCCUAGUAACUGCGUGUCAUUAUCGCGCGGUGAAUACGUCCCUGCUCCUUGCACUCACCGCCCGU